RNAcentral lists this ribosomal RNA (373 nucleotides) under uncultured Bacteroidia bacterium. RNAcentral's name for it is "bacterial SSU rRNA". It matches the Rfam family "Bacterial small subunit ribosomal RNA", at positions 521 to 896 of the family's 1533-position model. The record is from RNAcentral. Lineage: Bacteria; Pseudomonadati; Bacteroidota; Bacteroidia.
UAAUACGGAGGAUUCGAGCGUUAUCCGGAUUUAUUGGGUUUAAAGGGUCCGUAGGCGGUCUUUUAAGUCAGUGGUGAAAUCCCAGAGCUCAACUCUGGAACUGCCAUUGAAACUGAAAGACUUGAAUAUGGUUGAGGUAGGCGGAAUACGUUAUGUAGCGGUGAAAUGCAUAGAUAUAACGUAGAACACCAAUUGCGAAGGCAGCUUACUAAACCAUUAUUGACGCUGAUGGACGAAAGCGUGGGGAGCAAACAGGAUUAGAUACCCUGGUAGUCCACGCCGUAAACGAUGAUUACUCGUUGUGCACAAUACACCGUGCGUGACUGAGCGAAAGCAUUAAGUAAUCCACCUGGGGAGUACGUUCGCAAGAAUG